Caretta caretta (loggerhead turtle) is the source of this 802-nucleotide long non-coding RNA. RefSeq lists it as uncharacterized. NCBI's taxonomy places the organism in Eukaryota, Metazoa, Chordata, Testudines, Cheloniidae. The record is from RefSeq and is a predicted model, not a curated record.
UUGGGAGGAGUUAGCCCCAUUUUGUGGGAAAGUUGUGCAUAUGUAUAUGCAGUACCGUGACUUAGUCAGAUGGUUGCGGCGGCUGCAUCUGGGAAGAUCUGUAAUGAAGCUGACCAUCGACUUGGCAAAUCCUCUUAUUUCACCUUCUGAUAACAUUGAGGGUGGCCUGAGACAGACCACGAUCUUUCCCUUUUUUCGCAGAGGAUCACUAUUGUUACACUCCAUUUAAAUUCAGGAAUAAGCAUCUCAUGUCGCCAUACUCCACUGCAUUGGACCUGUAUGAGCAAGGCGGUCUUGGGGAGAGAGACUUUCCAUGCUGAGAAAAGAAAGACGCAAAGGGGUUUUUUUUGAAACACAGAAAUUCUGCUUGAAGCUAUCGAAUCAAUAUUUCGGCAGCCCUCAUAAAUGCACUGUGAAGGAUGCCCAGUCUGAAAAGUUCUUUGAGUAGAAAUGAAAACCGAUUUUUCAAGUGACUGCUCUGGCUGAUGCAAGACUGGUGUAUGGUACACUUCCUGGUCCAAGAAGCCUUCAGCUUGCAUCAACUCACCAUACCAGUUCAUCAGCCAAUUCAAAACAUAUUGGACUCAGAGAUGAAAGUGCAACCUAAGGAACUGGAUCACAAAGAGAUGCAUGGAGCUGAUAUCGGUUGAAAAAUGAUGUGACUGCCUCUAUCAGCAUGAAUUAAACAGGGUUUUAAAAAUAAAAUAUUGUUUUCAAUUAAAACAGUCUUCCACUAUGUCACGUUUUCCAAAGAGUAAUACUAGGGAACAUCCUAAGAAGAUCAUGUGCAGCAUAUCUUCUC